Molecule: long non-coding RNA, 531 nt
Filed under: Ficedula albicollis (Collared flycatcher)
Lineage: Eukaryota; Metazoa; Chordata; Aves; Passeriformes; Muscicapidae
Description: lncRNA (ENSFALG00000025594.1)
Source: RNAcentral
GAGCUGCUGAAGGGACGUCUGCAGCCUUUCGGAGAGUGGCUGAACGUGCAGCCGGUUGAUACAGGGAUCGCUGCAAAUUUGUCACGGUUAGGGUGUAUCCUGCAGGUUGGUGUGCGGCGCUGUGAUGCUGGGGCUGUAAUUCCGGGUGGGGUUAAGAUUGUGAGGACAAGCUGCUGCAUCACUGAUCUGAAGAAGGGCUUUCUCUUUUAAGACUGCAAGAAGAUACUACUAACUGGUAAACACUUGUCUGGGUUUCUUUGCUUGUGGAAUAUUUGUUUGUUUUCCAUAAUAUUUUAGGCCAAGGAAUACAAAGUAUUUUGAUCUGUUGAAAACAAGAAGUAGUUAAUGUAGUAUUUUUUCUUUCUAAUUGUCUGUAGCUCACCAGACAAAAGACUCUGUAGCAGUGGAUAACGUGUGGGUAUUUAAAUUGGAAUACAAAUUGAUUAAAUUCCUGCUCUCUCAAUAGAAGAAAAAAGACUGGUUGUUUUUUUUUUUUUCCCUGUAAUGGCUAGUUAGACAGUUUGUUUGGCU